CUGCUCUUAAAGGGCCGUGUCGGUGACAAGGACAAAUGCGGAGCCCCGUGCGUUGGCCGCUCUCCCAUCUGCGGGGUGCCGGGAGGGCGGGGGGGCGCGUGGGGGCGGCAGCGCCGGCUGUGCCGUACGGAGGGGACGGGGAGGGCGGCGUCCGGCCGGCCGCUGAACUGACCUACAUCGCUCGUCCCCAGGUCGGUGGAUGCUGACUUGAGGGUCUGCCUCCUGCUGCGGCUGCCGGGCUUCGGCCCACUCUGCCCCUUGGAGGAACAGAACACACCGCAGCCUGUGCAGCCGCAGAGGUGCAGAGGAAUGGAGGAGAAGGAGCGGCCCCCCGGCGCCCGCAGCCCCCCCCCCUCACCUUGCGCUGCGCCCAUGGGCCGGGGGAACUGCGUGAGGACGGGGAGGGGGCUCAGCCCCGUGCAGACACUGUUCAGGGGCGUUCUGGGGGGGCUGGGGGCCAUUGGGUACGUUCAGCUGCAUCACAACCACGCCGGGGCCUGAAGGGGACACCCCUGGGGAGAGAGGAUGGCAGCCGUACGGCCCCAGCUCUGCACGCCACGGCUGCUCGCUGUGGAAGAAGCGGCAGCAACUGCAACCGAUGCGCCCUUCCCUGCACCUUUGCAUCGGAGCGAUGAUUUGAGCCCACGGCCCCACAGCUGAGCCGCUGCCAGCAGAGGGAGUCUGCAGCCCACAGCAGCUCCCAGUGCUGCCCCUGCCCUGCCUGCCUGCUGGACUAUGGGCACGGUGAGCGCGGGCCGGCCUGGAGCAGAGUCACUUUGCCGCUCAGGGAGGGCUGUGCGAUAGAUUGGGCUGUGAAUUGGCAGCCCCUGACCCCCCCUUCCCACCCCAAACCCGAUCCAAACGGCUGACCCCGAAGCGCGGCGCCUCGUACCCGAAUACUGCUGCUGCAUCUGCGACGGGCUGCAGGGGGAGGGAGACUGCGGCAGCUGGUACUGCUCCGAGCCGGGCGGCUGCAGGAACCCCACCGAAGGGCUGUGGAGCAGAAAGCGCUUUGCUGAGCCGCUGCUGCUGGCAGAGAAGCAGCAGCCACAGCCCCUGCAUUGCAUGAGAGGGGCUGGCAACCCUGGAGGAGGCCAGGAGGCUCUGCAGGGCGGCCGUGUCCGGGAACCACCAUGCAUGGCAAGCUCCAGAGCUGAGCAGCACCCCCACUGCCCCCCUCCCACCAUCACGGGCCGCAGGACUCGGACACAGCACCCCCCAACGCAGAGAAGCUCCUACCUGGUGCCGUUCUGCUGGGCAGUUGGGAUGACGCUGUAGUAGAUGGGUACGCCUCCAGUCUGAAGCCCCCCCUGGACAGACUGGCUGGCCGGCACCAGCACCGGCUGCUGGAAGGGCUGCUGGACCACACUCUGCGACUCGUUGGCCACGGGAACCUGUGCAGGGAGGAGAGGAGCAGCCCUAUGGAAUGAGAGGGAACGGACAGCAGGAGCUGGCCACAAAAGCUUGAAGGGCCACCAGGUGGGCGUCCCGUGCAGCCUGCAGCAAUCACACCCUGCAGAGGGCAGACCCUCGCAGCUGCCCUGGGAACACAGAGCUCAGGGGAGCAGCUGAGCUCAGCUCUCUUCCCCAAGAGGAACUCUCUGCAGGUUCAAAUGCGUCCCCCAGCCUGGCUGGCAAGCGUGCACAACCUCCUCCAAGGUGAACGCAUCUGCACUGUUAACCCCACAGCUCAGAGGAGGGCUGCAGAACUGAGGCCCUCAGCCCACUGCAAAGCAGCUGACGCCUACCUGGUACGAAGGCAGCGGGGUGUACUGCACCAUCAGGCCUUGCAUCUGGCUCCCCAUGCCGCUCCUCUGGCUGCUGAGGAGGCUCGGGGGCUGCGUCUGCUGCACCCCCAGCACGCUCUGCAUUUGGCCCCCCAUGCUAUUCCUCUGGCUGUUGAGGAGCCCGGGGGACUGUGCCUGCUGCACUCCCAUCACGCCUUGGUACGUUUGCUGCUGGUUGGACAUCAUUGGCUGUAAACCUGCCAGAACAAAGUUGAGACGGAACAGCUUCCCAGCUGGCCGCAACGGACACAGCUGAGGUCCGUUCCUGCUUUGGCCCCUUCCUUUGUUAGGGAGGGAAAAGGGAUUCCCUCAUGGAAGGUGGAGGAAGACCCAAACGAAGCUGCUGGCAGCACCCUGCAUGCUGCGUACUCAGAGGAAAGGAAAGGAGGCGGCUUUUGCAGCCAGGUCACAUUUCAACUCUCCUUUGUGCAGCAGAGCCAGCAGAGAGCGGCACCUCAGGACACGGAGGAGCAGCCCAAGUGCAGGCAGUGCCUCACAGACCCUUAGAAGCCAACAGAGAGAAAGGAAAGGGGAAGGUCCCCUACUCCCUGCUGCCCCCCCCCAACCCCUUACCGGGCUGCUGGGCUUGCUGGGGGAGCUGCUGCGUGCGCUGAGAGCUGUAGGCCACUGGGUGACUGAGAGAUCGGUAUUGCUGGCUGGAGUUCGGGUACUGCCCGGGAGGGUAGUAAGAAACCUGAAUCUAGCAAAAGCGAGGAAACACGGCGGUAAGAACCCAGCGAGUGGGAUGAAGAAAUCGGGACCCUCCGGGUUCCUGCAGGACCGCUUUGCUCUCACACCCGGCCCGGCUGCUGCCGAAGGAAACCAAGCGGGGCUUCGGCUCCGGGCAGAGCAGAGAUCCCCAGGGAAGCACAGCCCCCCACUGCUCCUCCCAGCCUCACCCCCGAGCCCUCCCCAGCACCGCACUGCGAAGGCACUGCAGGCUCAGUCCUCACCACAGCCCGGGGGAGACGUCCCACCCCCCACUUAUGGGUCCCACCCCCAUCCCAGAGGUCACAAAGCCCCGCAGGACCCAAAGGAGAGCUCAGAGGUGUCAGCCCCCCGUAUGGUCACUGUCUCCCUUCCACUGCGAGCCAGGAAUGGCCAGAGGGCUCUCCAGGGAACCGCCGUGUGACGUGGGAGCAGAAACCAUACUGUGUCUCAUAGGAGCACGUGUGCACCCAGUGCUCUGACUGCUGCCCAUUGCUCCAUCACAAAUGAGCAGCACAAAAAGAAGGGCAGCCCCAGCAAAGUGUCCCCCCCCAGCAAAGUGUCCCCCCCAGCAAACCGUCCCCCCCCAGCAAAGUGUCCCCCCCCAGCAAAGUGUCCCCCCCAGCAAAGUGUCCCCCCCCAGCAAACCGUCCCCCCCCAGCAGCCCCCUGCCCUACAGAUUUGGGUUGAGGUCCUCAUCCCCUCCAGCCCCGCGCAGCUCCUUACUUGCUGGGGAGGUUGGAUGUAGCCCUGGGGCUGCAGCACCUGCUGCGUGGGGACCGUGUGCCCUGAGGCUGAGUAGUUGGAGGUGGGAAUGGGCUGCCCAGGGGUUGCCAUGAUGAAUCCCGCCUGCUGAGGGUGCUGGGAGAUGAGGGAUGAUUGGAACAUGGCCGAGGAAGGAUCCGGUGCUUCCGUCGAGCCCUGUCGGCUGAGGCUGAUCUGCCCAAAGGGGUUGCUGAGUUCGUCAGCCUGCAGCGGGGAUAAGUGAGAGGACACGUAGGCAUGUAGGACAGCAGCAAACGCAACGCGGCUCCGCCGAGCACUCCUUCCCACCACCCUCUGUUACAGACCAAGAGCGUUCUGCAGGACGGGGAGCCCCGGAGCUCAGCAGACACGGGUGACAUGCACAGCCCUGCAGAGGCCGGGGCGGCCCCAGCCCCGAUCUGCGUCCUGCAGGGCACUUCACACCAUGCACGGGGCGCUGCUCCCAGAAAGCCAGCACGGGCUGAGCACGAACUGCAGGGCAGCCGUGGCCCCACGGCACUUCCUCAGCCUCUAAGAUCAGCCCCGGGCUGCCAGAGCCUCGAGCAGCCCACGGCAACACGGGGCCUCCCUGACUCCUAAAGCCACCGUGUGCAGUGUGUGCGACACAGCCGGGUCAGCGCAAGCUCGGACAACACAAACACGGCACACAGGUAGAGCGGAGGCAGCGCACGAGAGUAAAUGGGGUUUAUACCAUGUUGUACUGCUGGGGUGGAGAGACUGGCAAGAGGACUUGGGGGCAGGAGCUUGGAGAAUACUGAACGGGCUGCAGCGCUGGGACCGGCUGAGACCAGCAGAGGAGGGAGCAGAGGGCACAGAUUUGGGUGGGGAGAGGUGAGGAAGGACAGGAGGAAGGAGAGAAAGAAGGAACAACAAGGUUAGUCAACCGAGCCCGUUGCGAACACACACAGGCGGGCAUUGCAGGGGUUUGGAAAGCGUGGGGAGCAGAAUGGGAGAGCGUCCGCCUGUCGGGGACGGCACGGCUGCUUUGUGGAAGCUGUGCAGGCCGUGUCCACAAAGCAGUCCUCACCUGGUGUGAACGGUGACGAAUUCACAAAGGCCCAAAGCAGAGAUCCGUUUACUCCGGACCACCUCCGUGUCUCCCAUCCCACCGCCCACCCGUGCACGGCACCGACCCCCGGCUCUCCCUGCACCCUCGCCGGGCAGAACGGAGUCCCAGCAGCCCGGCUGUGCGUUGGCUCUGCCUGCACCUCCCACCGCCUGCCCCCACCGAGCCCCGCCUGCUGUGCAGACACUCACCUGAGACAUCAUGUGGUUACUCAUGGCUGGCUGCUGCUGGGCCGUGGGGGGAAGGCCUUGGGGCUGCGGCUGCUGGGGAGGCGGUGGUUGAGGCUGCUGGGAUGCGCAGGGAAGGAGGCCGCGGCUGGGCUGCGACGAAGGGGGUUGGCUGCAUGCUUCGGGGGCACCGAGAGCCAGGCCUUGAGCAGAGAGAAGCAGGAGAAAGCAGACGGUAAGUCAGCCAAACAGCUCAUCCCCAUCCGGGUGCUGAGCAGUCCGAAACGAAGCCGGUUUCGUUUCCUGGUCCCAUUCUAACCGGGGGCACUGAGCGCAGCCCCAUAGCUGACCAACCCCCCGACUCAACGACGGCGGGCACCGCUGCUCCCUGGCAGGAGGUGGGCAGGGAAGCCAAGCAGUACCUGCCCGGGGUGCUCUGCUGGCCGUGCUGCCUUUGCUGCUCCCGAUGCUGUCCCCCCGUGUCAGGAUGGAGAUGCCGCUGAAGCUGCUGGCUUUGGUGACGGGCGGUCGCAGGCUGCGGAUGGAGCCAUCUGAGUCCGUGCUGCUCCACGGCCGAGGCUCCAAUGAUUUGAUCUCGCUCUCCGUGCUGCUCUGACGGCUGCCCGAGGCCCGGCUCAAACCGUCCCGGUUGGCCCUGUGCAGAGAAAAGUGAGUCAGGAAACGGCUCCGGGGGGAAGGGGAGGGAGCGGGACCCGCGUGUGCUGCACCCAACUGUCACAGCGGGGUGGUGACGCUGGCCAGCAGCUGGCUGUGGGGGACAGCACAUUGGCACUGAGCACAGUAAUCAGAGACGGCGAACAAACAGCCCGCGUCGCUGCUUCCUCAGCCGUGCACUGGGAAGACCCACACAGUUAUCUCCAUGUUGGUUCCUGGCCUUUUUCUCCGGCCUGGAAAAGAGGCCAGCAGGCUCACAGCACGGUCCCUUGCUAAAGCUUUCCUUGUCCCACAACACCGGGCCUCACAGAGGCCUCAAGGUGACCAAGAUCUUGCAAGAUCCCCUUCUGCAGAGCUGUGUGCCGUGGCACCACUGUGCUCCCCGUGACUGCCCCCCUUCCUCUCCAGCCGGGUCUGCCUGUAAGACUUUGGAGUGCUGGCAAAGCACCCCAAGCAUUAAACCCGGUUCACCAGCCCAGCUAAGGAAUAUCAUGGGUUUAUAAUGGGUUCCUGGACCCUCGCUGAGGAGGAGUGGUGAUGAAGGCAACGACGGCAGAGAUGCCAUGCUGCAGGCUGAGCUCGGCAGCUCCAAGCAGCCGUGGAGAGAAGACAGGCUGAGAAGGAACGUCCAGCUGAGGUCCGGGGCUGCCGGGAGCACACGAGAGCCAAAGAGAACAGCUCUCCUGGAAGGGCAACCGAUGCGAUGGCUGCACCUCCUAACAGGUGAAGGAACCGCCUGUGCAGCCUUGCAAACUCCAGAGGGCCUAAAAAGUGUCGCUGCUCAUCCGGGCUCUCUCCAACCUCGACCCCGAGGAUGCUCGGAGAGGUGGGGGCACUCUUUGAGGCAUGUCGUGUCCUCCGUGCAGCUCAGCUGCUAACCCCGCUUCCCUGAGAACUCAGGACCUCUCAAGCUGUUAUGCCACUGGGUUAGCAGCAAGCAGCUUGAGCCAGCUCUGCUGUCUCUCGUGCCCCUCUCUCCGUGAACCUCAUCACAGCCUGCUUCCACGUGUCUGCCAGCAGAGAGCUCUCUGCCAUCACCUCGGUGCUAACAGAGGCCGUGUAAGCAAUGGAGGUGGCUGCUUUUGCUCUGAGUGCUGGGCUCUGGGGGAGCGAACUCAGGAGUUCACCAAGACAUCACCUCCAAGCACAGCCACCCAGGGAGCCCCGGUCUUCUCCGGAGCUUUGUCUGCCUCUGUCCAGAGCUCCAAACGACCCUGAGGUCCACACGGCCUCCGGAACCACAGAGGAAGGAGGUUAAGAAGCUCUUUAGGGCACACGGGUCAGAAGAGCUCUCAGCACAGCGCUGCCUGCAGGUGUGGGGUGACCUCUGCUGUAUGUCCACAGCAGAACUGCAAACGACACCAACACCGCAGCCAGAGGCGUAACUCCACCGCAGCAUCCCCGUAUCUGCGCUGAGGACACCUCGUUUUGCACUGCAGUGUUGUUCUGAGUGCAAACGGAGCCAAAACUGAGAAGCAAAGCUGUACCUCCAACACGCUUAAACCAGGGACAGCUGCAGUGCACCCCGACACUGAGCGGUGGGGUUCUCCCACCCUUCUGGGACACAAAGAGCGCAGCGGUUGGAAAACUGCCCCGAUCCUUUGGCUCUCCCCCUCCCUGCUGCCCACCGUCCCAUUUGAAUCGAUGGAUUGGCAAAAAAAAAAAAAUAAAAGAGAGAGAGAGGACUCAGAAAUCAACGCUGCGAAAAAUCCCACUUCGGCAACGAAUGGGGCAGAUUUACCCAGCAGGAAAACGUGCAUAAAUCACACAGCGACGCCUAAAAAUCUGCCUCCGUUUCUGAGGGCUAUAAGCAAAGCUUUCCUUGGACAUUCUGCCCGCUGCCAUCAGAGAAAAGCAUCAUUACGGAGUCAUGCAGUGCCCUGCAGACAAAGGCAGAGACACAGAGGUGUGUGCUGAGCGGUACUGACCUGCUGUCGGUGAGAUAUCCGUUCUGACCGGUCUGCAACCGUGGAAAAGACGCGGAGAUGGGAAGGAAAGAAAAAGGGACACUUAAUCACUUGGAAAGCGACAAACCCCACGCUACUUCAAAGCAAAGAAGAGCAAAGCACUAACAGUAUGGGAUUCAGCUGGUGCUGUGCAUGAGUUGUAUGGUCACUCGGGAGCUCCUGCUGAGCCUCUCGUGCUCCUGUCCCACUCGGCUCUCCAUCCAACCCCCCUGGAGCCUUUGCCAGCAUCUGUGAGGCCGACAUCUCCCCUGGGCUUUCAAAUCGGAGCCCUAAGCUCUCUAUCUCAGUGCCCUGAGGAGUCCUAAGCUCUCUAUUUCAGUGCCCUGAGGAGCCCUAAGCUCUCUAUCUCAACGCCCUGAGGAGCCCUAAGCUCUCUAUUUCAGUGCCCUGAGGAGCCCUAAGCUCUCUAUCUCAGUGCCCCGAGGCAGCAUCGAGGUUGCUUUGUUAGUGGGACAACCGAGACCAAACACAGAAGGGUCCUCUCUUGGUAAACGCGGGCAGUCAUCAGAGCCACGUGAAAAGGCGGAGGGCUCAAAGUCAGCCCAGCAUCCCGGUGACAGCCAGCCCUGCCCCUGCAGCCUGCAGCAGAGCGCCGGCUCAGGCCCUGAGCAGAGAGGAAGGGCGGCCACUCAGCACCGUGCUGGCGUGGGAUGGCAGCUGCCCUCGUCCAGGACUGCAGGCAGAGCUGCUCGUUAGCGUGGCUGGAUGGCUCUGGGCCUGCGUGCAACACAGCUCUGUGCCUACCAACACGAGAGCCAUCCGAAGCCUUGCUGCCUCGAGAGCACUCAGUGCAGCGGCUGCCUGAACACACUCCCAUUGGGACGGAGGAAAGCAUCGUUCCCCAGCUACUCCAAAGCAGCAGGCAGGGAGCUGGACUUCCAACCUGACCCACAGCAGCCUGAACUGUCCCCAGUCCCAUCGUACGCCUCUCGGCACAGCACAGAGAGCUGCCUCCAGCUGGCAGAUAGCACUCAACACAGCAGAGCACAGCAGCCUCGCUGAGCCAGACGUGAGCACGGAGCAGAGCUCUGCCUUAGAGGAGUUCCACACAGGGAGCAGAGAUUUCAAGCAAACAACAACCAAGCUGGACGCUUUGUGAGAAAGGAAAUCAACCCACAUCCAGCCCACAAAGGCACAGAGCCCUGCCUGACACCUGAGGGACCCCGGGCAGCCUGAUGUAAGGGCUGGCAACCCUGCCCGUGGCAGGGGGGUUGGAACGAGGUGAUCUUUAAGGUCCCCUCCAACCUAAGCCAUUGUGUGAUUGAGGGCUAGCACUGCUUGCUCGGGAGGCCAAAGCUGCAGAAAUGGAGAGAAACUGGGAGAGAAGGGCACGGUUCCUGGCAGCUUCAUCGAUUAACUCAUUCCAGACAUGCCACUGCAUAAGCUUAUAGUACUGCUGGACAGCAAGGAGCAAACCUGCCUCCUCUGUCAGUCCCCACACUUCUACUGCCAUGUGAAUUUAAGGGAGUGAACGUGUGGCUCCUCUAUCUCCAUGUCACAGGCAUCUUUGUUAGGAGCUGGAAUUCACUGGUAGAUACCAGGAACACUAGGAAAUUCGUAGAAAAGGCAACAGUGAGAUCUGACCUGUUAGGAUAUUCAAGGCCACCUUCUGCCCCAAGGUUCCAGGAAGACACCUGGCACGUCAGUGAUCUCAGCUUACCUCUCGUGCAAAUAUCCGCUCCCUGGCCCGCUGGUAUUCCUCCUCUCGCUCUUCUAUAGAUUUGCUCCUCCUCCCAUCCUGCAAGGGGAGUCUGAUCUGAAGGGACAAACACAGCUCAGCGGGUCAGUGGUUGCCAACGGGAGCAGAGGGUGCAGUGAGCUGCUGAUACGUCUGCACAGCACUAUGGGGACUGUGGGGUGCGUGCACGAUGCCCGGGUGCAAUAACGCUGCCUUUAAACUGAACUCCUGGGCACCUGUGUUAUGGGGGUGAACAACUGUUCUGCCUGCAAGACUGUUCUGCCCGAUUCAGAGAGGACAGGUGAGGAAUAUGAGCAAGUAUUCUGGAAGACAAUCUGCUCUCGGGGGGUCAGGAGCUAAAAGCCGCUCUCUGCAGACAGAUGCCCACGGCAAAGUCCUCCUGCUCAGUCACACGCUGUGUGCCUCACCCUCUGAGUACCACCGUGGAGCAAACAGAACCUGGUACUGAUUGCAAUGACCUCCUGAGUUCGGAAAGGUGAACCAAAGCGAGGGGUGAUGGCGUGGUGAUGUUAAGAUGGGUGCUACAAAAGCAAAGAGCGCGAGGUCCUGGGUGGGGAGGGGGAUCCCGGCGCCCCGUUCUGCUGUCCCUUACCUGAUUAUCAUCCCUGUCCAUGCUGGUGUCAUCUCGUUUUAGGAUAAACCGCUGUGGAAACUCUGCAUUCUUCUCAUCCUUGAUGUGCUCAGAGAACCUCUGCUCGGGACUGCAGGGGGAACCAGCUCUUGUUAGGGGGUCACAACGGGGCUUGGAGCUGUUUUGCUAACAGAGCCUGGCUUUUGGUCGUACCACAUCUCAGCUCCGCUGCAAGGACUCCAGCUUUGCUGCUCCCGUGGCAGCAUUCGGUUUGAUGGUGUUUAUUACUGACACAGCAGCAGCUCCUUUGGAGCACACAAACACCUUUUGAGUGCCACAUAAAGCCACAGACGUAGAGCUGUCACCUCCCUCUCCUCCUCCCAAAACACACGGAUGCACACACACACGUGCAAACAAACACCACAGGGUCAGCCAAAGCAGCGUCGCUCACCAGGUGCUCCCUCCCUCCCUUCACUCCAUCAGAAGGAUUGCUUUUUUAACCAAGCAGUGAC
RNAcentral lists this long non-coding RNA (9917 nucleotides) under Gallus gallus (chicken). The record is from RNAcentral. Lineage: Eukaryota; Metazoa; Chordata; Aves; Galliformes; Phasianidae.